Molecule: long non-coding RNA, 576 nt
Organism: Schistocerca nitens (vagrant locust)
Lineage: Eukaryota; Metazoa; Arthropoda; Insecta; Orthoptera; Acrididae
Exons: 3
Source: RefSeq, a predicted model, not a curated record
UGUAUUAUUGGUUCUUUUCAACGCUUCGAACGCAAAUUGAAGGACUUUUACAUGUUAUCUGUCGGUUCUAUUUACGUAAAUUACCUUACAGUCUGUGUUGGUCGGAUCUAUGACGAUACUUUUAGAACUUCACAGCAAUUUUAGAGGCAAAAUUCUUAUUUAAAGUGAUUUACUGAGUGUCACUGAUAAUAUUAAUUACAAAAUCAUCAAGGACAGUCAAGAGGAAUGCCUGGUUGCUCCGCUGUUGGGUGCAAAAACCGAAGUGAAGAUGGAUAUAUGAUGCUCGUUCUUCCAAGAAAUGCAGAAAGACGUAAACAGUGGGCAGUGAAAGUCAACCGAGAAGGUCCUCCAGUACUCGUCGUUGAGGUUCAGGGGUGUACUGGAAACGUGCUCGAAAAUGCUCCACCCGCCUGUGUUGUGGAGAUCCAGGAACUGAUGUACUCUCUGACAAUCUUCUAGGAGGUGGCUGAGGAGGGAAUAACUUCAUGAAGAACUGCAGUGACUCUUCUACCCGCCAAGAGUGACAUCCGUGAAAUGUAAAUGCAGCUAAUGAAAGCAAAUGGACACUUCGACUAU